AGAGUUUGAUCAUGGCUCAGAAUGAACGUUGGCGGCGUGGAUUAGGCAUGCAAGUCGAGCGUGAUCCCUCCGCAAGGAGGGUGAAAGCGGCGAAAGGGAGAGUAACGCGUGGACUAUCUACCCUCGGGCUCGGGAUAGCUGCGGGAAACUGCAGGUAAUACCGAAUAACGUCCCUGGACCAAAGGUGUGAUUCCGCCUGAGGAUGAGUCCGCGUCCUAUUAGCUAGUUGGUAGGGUAAUGGCCUACCAAGGCGAUGAUGGGUACUGGGUGUGAGAGCACGACCCAGCUCACUGGGACUGAGAUACUGCCCAGACACCUACGGGUGGCUGCAGUCGAGGAUCUUCGGCAAUGGGCGCAAGCCUGACCGAGCGACGCCGCGUGUGGGAUGAAGGCCUUCGGGUUGUAAACCACUGUCAGAGGGGAUGAAAUACCCAGAGGUACUCCUCUGGGCCUGACAUAUCCUCAGAGGAAGGACGGGCUAAGUUCGUGCCAGCAGCCGCGGUAAGACGAACCGUCCGAACGUUAUUCGGAAUUACUGGGCUUAAAGGGUGCGUAGGCGGUGCAGAAAGUUGGGUGUGAAAUCCCUCGGCUCAACCGAGGAACUGCGCCCAAAACUACUGUGCUUGAGGGAGACAGAGGUGAGCGGAACUUAGGGUGGAGCGGUGAAAUGCGUUGAUAUCCUAAGGAACACCGGUGGCGAAGGCGGCUCACUGGGUCUCUUCUGACGCUGAGGCACGAAAGCUAGGGUAGCGAACGGGAUUAGAUACCCUAGUAGUCC
This 778-nucleotide ribosomal RNA is filed under the name uncultured bacterium. Its description in RNAcentral is "bacterial SSU rRNA". It matches the Rfam family "Bacterial small subunit ribosomal RNA", at positions 8 to 796 of the family's 1533-position model. The record is from RNAcentral.